This 1389-nucleotide long non-coding RNA is filed under the name Malus domestica (apple). Its description in RNAcentral is "long non-coding RNA (MDOM_LNC015761)". Lineage: Eukaryota; Viridiplantae; Streptophyta; Magnoliopsida; Rosales; Rosaceae. The record is from RNAcentral.
CCAAAAUGAUGAGCACUCGAAACUUCAGGCUCGAGAUUUACAUGAUAAAUGAGGAGGGUGAUUGUACCGCACCAUUCUCAUUGAAAUAAGAUAGGAUAGGCGAUUACACCAAACAAGAAAUCAAAGAUAUAAGUAACUGUUAUGUUGAGAACUAAAAACAGACAUGGUGCAAACAAUUCUUCACGAUGGUAUACCCAGCAGUUGAAGCAGAGGAAGAAGAAGAACAGUAAAAUUCUUAAGGGAAACAUUUUUUUUUUCUUUCAGCAAAGAGCAAUGAGAAAUGUUUUAGGGUUAGAGAGUCGUGCUGAUAACGUGUUAUAAAUAGGCAAAAGUUAGAGAGAUAACCUUUCCUAGAGACAGGAGUGAGGCUGUAGUAAAAUAUUAUAACAUGAUUGUAGAUAAGAGAGAAAUAAGAGGAUACUGAAAAUAUUCUAUCUUUCUUUCUUUUCUUGUUGUUCUUGUUAUUGUUUAACACUCGUAAUGCUCUAUUUAUAGAGCAAGUACCUUGGAAACAAACAAAUUACACUAUUAAUCAUAUGAAAAGUUCACUGUAUGCAUGUGGGCAUACAUACCUACUUUUUACAACACUUUCCACUAUAUAUACAUAAGUGCUCGGUGCUCUUAAUUAACGGAAGAGGAUCCUCUCCGGAGCCGGUUCCAUCGGAUCCUCCUCCUUCCUCUUCUUUCUCUGCAGGUUUUCGACCUCCGGAGACGGCGUCAUGCUCCCCCGGAGUGGGCAUAGGUUGGAAUCUGCAUCAUGGCAUCCCCAGAGCUAGUUAUCGAAAAUCUUCAAAACCACAUUGUCGGUGACGACUACUACGACGUUGCUGAUCCAGGGAGCCCACGACGCCGACUCCGGGGGAGCAUGACCCCGACUCCGGGGCCGAAAAAGUGCAGAGAAAGAAGAGGAAGGAGGAGGAUCUCGAGGCUCCGAUGGAGCCGGCUUCGGAGAGUAUCCUUUCCCCUAGUUAACAAAUGCAUUAGAUAUGAUUAUAAAUAUAAAAUGAUAAUUUAAUGCAAUCGAUAUUAUUAACUCAUUGUUAAGUUAAACACAUUAAUUUUCUCUUAAAAUAGAUAAUAUUAUUUGUUAAAUUUGUUUAAAAAAAAACAAUCAUCUCAUUUGAGCUAGUGUGUCACUUUCAAUUGAGAUUGUUUUGUUGGUUUGUUACAACUAUAGUCUGAAAUAUCGAUAAUAUCGACGAAAUAUCGAGGAUAUUUCGGUUUUUUUGAAUCAUGGAUAUUUCGGAACAUAUCCAUAUGCAUAUCGUACAAAUAUCGACAAUAUCGAUGAUAAUAUCGGAAAAUAUCGAUGUCGAUAAUAUCGGAAAUAUCGGUAGUCCGAAAACACGGAAAUAUCGAUGGAAAUAUCGGGAUAAUAUCGAUAUCGAU